RNAcentral lists this ribosomal RNA (544 nucleotides) under uncultured bacterium. RNAcentral's name for it is "bacterial SSU rRNA". It matches the Rfam family "Bacterial small subunit ribosomal RNA", at positions 777 to 1319 of the family's 1533-position model. The record is from RNAcentral.
AAUAGAUACCCUGGUAGUCCACGCCGUAAACGAUGAGAACUAGCCGUUGGAUCCCUUGAGGGUUCAGUGGCGAAGCUAACGCGAUAAGUUCUCCGCCUGGGGAGUACGGCCGCAAGGUUAAAACUCAAAUGAAUUGACGGGGGCCCGCACAAGCGGUGGAGCAUGUUGUUUAAUUCGAUGCAACGCGAAGAACCUUACCACCCCUUGACAUCCUCGGAACUUGGCAGAGAUGCCUUGGUGCCUUCGGGAACCGAGUGACAGGUGCUGCAUGGCUGUCGUCAGCUCGUGUCGUGAGAUGUUGGGUUAAGUCCCGUAACGAGCGCAACCCUUGUCCUUAAUUGCCAGCGGGUAAUGCCGGGAACUCUAAGGAGACUGCCGGUGACAAACCGGAGGAAGGUGGGGAUGAGGUCAAGUCAUCAUGGCCCUCACGGGGUGGGCUACAAACGUGCUACAAUGGCGUGCACAAAGGGCUGCAAUCCCGGCGAGGGGGAGCAAAUCCCAAAAAACGCGUCGUAGUCCGGAUUGGAGUCUGCAACUCGACUCC